ACUCCUACGGGAGGCAGCAGUGAGGAAUAUUGGUCAAUGGGCGCAAGCCUGAACCAGCCAUGCCGCGUGCAGGAAGACUGCCUUAUGGGUUGUAAACUACUUUUAUACAGGAAGAAACGUACCCUCGUGAGGGUGCCUGACGGUACUGUAGGAAUAAGCACCGGCUAACUCCGUGCCAGCAGCCGCGGUAAUACGGAGGGUGCGAGCGUUAUCCGGAUUUAUUGGGUUUAAAGGGUCCGUAGGCGGAUUAAUAAGUCAGUGGUGAAAUCCCAUCGCUUAACGAUGGAACUGCCAUUGAUACUGUUAGUCUUGAAUGAGGGUGCAGUGGUUGGAAUGUGUAGUGUAGCGGUGAAAUGCAUAGAUAUUACACAGAACACCGAUUGCGAAGGCAGAUCACUAACCCUAAAUUGACGCUGAGGGACGAAAGCGUGGGGGAGCGAACAGGAUUAGAUACCCU
This 457-nucleotide ribosomal RNA is filed under the name uncultured bacterium. RNAcentral's name for it is "bacterial SSU rRNA". It matches the Rfam family "Bacterial small subunit ribosomal RNA", at positions 335 to 788 of the family's 1533-position model. The record is from RNAcentral.